This 202-nucleotide long non-coding RNA is filed under the name Eucalyptus grandis. RNAcentral describes it as "long non-coding RNA (EGRA_LNC004433)". The record is from RNAcentral. Lineage: Eukaryota; Viridiplantae; Streptophyta; Magnoliopsida; Myrtales; Myrtaceae.
GAAAAUUGACUACAACACCCGACAAGUUAUCCUACUCAAGCUAGGAAAUAAUUUAGAUUAAAUCCCAUUUUAAUUCGGAAACUCAUCUUAAUUAAUUAUCCAUAACAUGCAAUCUAAUAUUAAAACAAAUCUAACUAGAUAAAUUCUAAGCAUGCGGUCCUAACCUAUUUAAGAAACCAUCCUAAUUUGUCAUGCAAUCUGA